Molecule: ribosomal RNA, 306 nt
Filed under: uncultured bacterium
Lineage: Bacteria
Description: partial 16S ribosomal RNA
Rfam family: Bacterial small subunit ribosomal RNA
Source: RNAcentral
GACAGCAGUAGCCACGGUAAUACAGAGGGUGCGAGCGUUAAUCGGAUUUACUGGGCGUAAAGCGUGCGUAGGCGGCUUUUUAAGUCGGAUGUGAAAUCCCUGAGCUUAACUUAGGAAUUGCAUUCGAUACUGGGAAGCUAGAGUAUGGGAGAGGAUGGUAGAAUUCCAGGUGUAGCGGUGAAAUGCGUAGAGAUCUGGAGGAAUACCGAUGGCGAAGGCAGCCAUCUGGCCUAAUACUGACGCUGAGGUACGAAAGCAUGGGGAGCAAACAGGAUUAGAUACCCGAGUAGUCCCUGUCUCUUAUAC